Molecule: ribosomal RNA, 492 nt
Filed under: uncultured bacterium
Lineage: Bacteria
Description: partial 16S ribosomal RNA
Rfam family: Bacterial small subunit ribosomal RNA
Source: RNAcentral
AGUGAACGCUGGCGGCAUGCCUAACACAUGCAAGUCGAACGGCAGCACAGGGAGAUCUUGCCCCUGCGGGUGGCGAGGGGCGGACGGGUGACGAAUGCAUCGCAUACCUCUCUGACGGGGGUGAUAACGGAGGAAAACUUAUUCUAACACCGCAUAUAUCGUACCGGGGAGGGCAAGGGUUCGACUCGCUUUUUGUGAGUGUAAGAGCCGAUGUCGGAUUAGCUAGUUGGCUGGGUAAAGGCCCACCAAGGCGACGAUCCGUAGCUGGCCUGAGAGGAUGAUCGGCCACACUGGAACUGAGACACGGUCCAGACUCCUACGGGAGGCAGCAGUGGGGAAUAUUGGGCAAUGGGCGCAAGCCUGAUGCAGCCACACCGCGUGAGUGAAGAAGGCCUUCGGGUUGUAAAGCCCUUUUAUUGGGUAAGAACAGAAGCAUGUUUAACCCUGGAUGUUUUGACGGUACCCAAUGAAAAAGCCCCGGCUAACUUCGUG